Molecule: long non-coding RNA, 243 nt
Filed under: Theobroma cacao (cacao)
Lineage: Eukaryota; Viridiplantae; Streptophyta; Magnoliopsida; Malvales; Malvaceae
Description: long non-coding RNA (TCAC_LNC005166)
Source: RNAcentral
AAAAAACAUAGCUGGAAAUUUGUCCUUCGGAAUGUAGACAGAAAAUUGUCUUUACAAACAGGUGAUUUUACAGGAAAGUCUGGGUUGGCUUCCCUUAAUUUUGUGGUUUGUAGUGGUAGUGUAGAUGAGGAUUUUAAGCCCUCAAAUCUGCCAAGGAAUGUGUAAAGACAAGUUAUCAGUAUCCUCCCAGUCCCCAGUAUUAAUUGAGAAAAAAACACAAGUUAUUCAGCUCAAACAUGGCAU